AAGACAAGAAGGUGAGAUUUCUUAAACAAUGAGGAGGUUGGCUUAGAAGCAGCCAUCCUUUAAAGAUAGCGUAACAGCUCACUCAUCUAGAGAUUUUGCGUCGAAAAUAAUUGGGGCUAAGUAUAUUACCGAAUUUGAGGAUUUAAUCCCGCCUCGGCGGGAUUGAGUGGUAGGAGAGUGUUCCAAUCUGCAGUGAAGGAAGACUCGUGAGAGCUUCUGGAGCGUUUGGAAGUAAGAAUGUUGGCACAAGUAACCGCAAUGAUGUUGAGAACGCAUCACGUCGAAAGAUCAAGGUUUCCUUGGUAAUGAUAAUCAGCCAAGGGUUAGUCGGGCCUAAGGGAAUGGUGAAAACCGUACUCGAUGGACACAGGGUUAAUAUUCCCUGACUUCUGUAUAUAGUGAUGGGAUGACGGAGGGUAGUAUGUAUCGCUCAUUAUUGGAUUUGAAGUUUAUGCCUUAAUUGUACGCUAUAGGAAAAUCCGUAGCGUGACUUAAAUGUCAUAUGAAAGAGGAGUAAAGAAUUUAGUCUCUCGGGACUGGAUAAUGAUACAAAGCACGCUUCCAAGAAAACUCUCUAAACUUAUAUGUAUAGAAUCCGUACCGCAAACCGACACAGGUGAUCAGGUCGAGUAGACCAAGACGAACGAGUGAGUGGUCCCCAAGGAACUCGGCAAAAAAGCAGCCGUAACUUCGGGAUAAGGCUUGCCCCCACCACUUUGGAUAUUUCUAAAAAAUAUUCGAGUGGCUGGAUGAGUAAGAUUAAAUUGAGACAAAAGCAAAUUAGUGAUUUGCAAAAAUUGCUCUUCAUCACGAGUACUUCUACGAGCGAAGUAUCUAAAGUGGUGGGGGCCGCAGCGAAAGUAUCUCUGGCAACUGUUUACCAAAAACACAGCUCCCUGCGAACUCGUAAGAGGAUGUAUAGGGGGUGACACCUGACCAAUGCCAGAAGGUCAAAUAUCGACGUUGGUAGUAGUAAUAUUAUUGGUGAUUGAUAUAAGCCCUGGUGAAUGUCGGCCGUAACUAUAACGGUCCUAAGGUAGCGAAAUACCUUGUCGGGUAAGUUCCGACGCGCACGAAUGGUGUAAUGACUGGAGAACUGUCUCGGGGACCAGCUCGGUGAAAAUACAAUACCGGUGAAGAUGCCGGUUAAGUGCAGUUAGACGAAAAGACCCUAGAAGCUUUACUAUAACUUGAUAUUGAGUAUGUUUUUUAGUUGCGUAGCAUAGAUGGGAGAGGUUUGAUGUGUACGGUUUCGGCUGUAUUCUACUCGUCAGUGAAAUACCAUUCUUCUGUGAGGCAUAUUCUAACCAAUACGGCAAAAACGUAUUGAGACAGUAUCUGGUGGAUAGUUUUACUGGGGCUGUACCCUCCUAAAAAGUAAAGGAGGGGUUUAAAGGUAAUCUAGGCGCGAAUGGAAACCGUGCCGAUAGUGUAAUAGCAUAAGAUUGCUUGACUGUGAGAGGUACAUCUCGAGCAGGUGGGAAACCAGAAUAUAGUGAACCGACCACCCGUAUUAGACGCGGUGGAAGAUUAACGGAUAAAAGCUACUCUAGGGAUAACAGGCUAGUUCCGCCCAAGAGUUCAUAUCGACGGCGGAGUUCGGCACCUCGAUGUCGGCUCACCUUAGCGCGGUGGCGGAGAAGCUACCAAGCGUUUGGCUGUUCGCCAAUUAAAAAGGUACGCGAGCUGGGUUCAGACCGUUAAGGUCAUAAAUUUAUUUUGUGAUUUUAAUAGUCUGAGCCCUCAGAGGAAGAAAGAACUUGAAAAAGAACUUGAACUGUUUUAAUCGAAAUCAAUCAUGAACUUAAAUGUUCAUCACGGCGGCGUAGUGUAGUAAUACAUUAUGAGAAGCUAACUUAUAUCGGAGAAAUCCAAUCCUGAGCAAAGUCGAAGGAGGAUAACGCCGAGGGAAAAAAUAUUUAUUUUGCCCGUAGAGACUGAAUGUUAGACAACCUAAUUUAUAGGUUGAUGUCACAGUCCAAUCCCCAAAGUAAUUUGGGACGUAGAUGCGUGAGACAGGUUGGUCUCCUAUCUACUGCACUCGUUGAUUCUUGAGAAGAUUUGCUCCUAGUACGAGAGGACCGGAGUGAACUGACCUCUGGUGUACGAGCUGUCCUGCCAAGGGCACUGCUCGGUAGCUAUGUCGGGAAUGGAUAACCUCUGAAAGCAUCUAAGAGGGAAGCCAGCUUCAAGAUUAGGAAUCGUUAAGAACCCUGAGAGAUGAUCAGGUUGAUAGGCUUUAAGUGUAAGCGCAGUAAUGCGUUGAGCUGAGAAGUACUAAUGUUUCGAUUCCUGUUAAGAA
RNAcentral lists this ribosomal RNA (2302 nucleotides) under Patescibacteria group bacterium. RNAcentral describes it as "partial 23S ribosomal RNA". It matches the Rfam family "Bacterial large subunit ribosomal RNA", at positions 1064 to 2925 of the family's 2925-position model. The record is from RNAcentral.